UCUAUAGACAUGCAGAUUCACUGUUUGUUAGAUUUGUUCCGAUUUACAAAACCUUUUUGAACAAACUCAACUGUGGGUGAAAUCCCUCUUCAAUACCUUCAUUUUGGCGGUGGUUUCACUUCGAUUGACCUCCUGAAACUGAAAUGGUUCACAGAUCAAGAUCUGGUCAGAUCUGACUUUGUCGAAUUAAACCAGGAGUUUGGAAACGAAUUUUUGAAUGAAACCAGUUGGGACUGAUGGAUGUUUUCUUAAUCAUCUCAAACAAGUUUCACACCUUUGUCUGUUGUGUAACUCCAGAGAGAAAGCAAAUGGGGAUGUUUGGUUUAUACCAUGGUGAUAACCGAGAGAGGCAAUUGCUAAGUUGUGAUACUCUCAUACCUUUACUAGACGCGAGCAAUUCCGGAGAAGAAGAAGAAGUGGAAUUGGACAAGGAUUUUAUUUAUAUUGUUGGGAUUCUUAUAUUGAUGGAGUUGAAGAAGUACAUGGACAAAUAAGCCAAGGCAAGCCAUCUUUUGAUCUCUGAUCCGGUGUCUAGUUGGAUGUCAUUUGUUGAUGUUCAAAGCACCUUCAUUCUAUGUGUGUUAUUAUCUCUAUUUAUGUCAUCUAUGUGUGAUUGCAAGUGGGGUACUCCCUAGUGGUGAUGCUCCACUAUUGUCCUUGUGUUAUGGGAUGCAUGGUAACAUGGCCGUGCUAU
This is a non-coding RNA of Lolium perenne, 694 nucleotides long. NCBI's taxonomy places the organism in Eukaryota, Viridiplantae, Streptophyta, Magnoliopsida, Poales, Poaceae. The record is from RefSeq and is a predicted model, not a curated record.